This 570-nucleotide ribosomal RNA is filed under the name uncultured fungus. RNAcentral describes it as "eukaryotic LSU rRNA". The stretch from base 208 to 361 matches the Rfam family "5.8S ribosomal RNA". The record is from RNAcentral. Lineage: Eukaryota; Fungi.
CGNAANAAGGUCUCCGUAGGUGAACCUGCNNNNNGAUCAUUACACAAAUAUGAAGGCGGGCUGGAACCUCUCGGGGUUACAGCCUUGCUGAAUUAUUCACCCUUGUCUUUUGCGUACUUCUUGUUUCCUUGGUGGGUUNGCCCACCACUAGGACANACAUAAACCUUUUGUAAUUGCAAUCAGCGUCAGNAACAAAUUAAUAAUUACAACUUUCAACAACGGAUCUCUUGGUUNNGGCAUCGAUGAAGAACGCAGCGAAAUGCGAUAAGUAGUGUGAAUUGCAGAAUUCGGUGAAUCAUCGAAUCUUUGAACGCACAUUGCGCCCUUUGGUAUUCCAAAGGGCAUGCCUGUUCGAGCGUCAUUUGUACCCUCAAGCUUUGCUUGNUGUUNGGCGUCUUGUCUCUAGCUUUGCUGGAGACUCGCCUUAAAGUAAUUGGCAGCCGGCCUACUGGUUUCGGAGCGCAGCACAAGUCGCACUCUCUAUCAGCAAAGGUCUAGCAUCCAUUAAGCCUUUUUUUCAACUUUUGACCUCGGAUCAGGUAGGGAUACCCGCUGAACUUAAGCAUAUCA